Molecule: ribosomal RNA, 253 nt
Filed under: uncultured bacterium
Lineage: Bacteria
Description: partial 16S ribosomal RNA
Rfam family: Bacterial small subunit ribosomal RNA
Source: RNAcentral
UACAGAGUUCUCCAGCGUUGUUCGGAUUCAUUGGGCGUAAAGGGUGCGUAGACGGCGCGGUAAGUCGGGUGUGAAAUCUUGGAGCUUAACUCCGAAACUGCAUUCGAUACUGCCGUGCUUGAGGACUGGAGAGGAGACUGGAAUUUACGGUGUAGCGGUGAAAUUCGUAGAUAUUCGCAAGAACACCAGUGGCGAAGGCGGCUCACUGGCCCGGUACUGACGCUGAGGUGCGAAAGCGUGGGGAGCAAACAGG